RNAcentral lists this ribosomal RNA (561 nucleotides) under Staphylococcus aureus. RNAcentral's name for it is "bacterial SSU rRNA". It matches the Rfam family "Bacterial small subunit ribosomal RNA", at positions 90 to 638 of the family's 1533-position model. Lineage: Bacteria; Bacillati; Bacillota; Bacilli; Caryophanales; Staphylococcaceae. The record is from RNAcentral.
UGUUAGCGGCGGACGGGUGAGUAACACGUGGAUAACCUACCUAUAAGACUGGGAUAACUUCGGGAAACCGGAGCUAAUACCGGAUAAUAUUUUGAACCGCAUGGUUCAAAAGUGAAAGACGGUCUUGCUGUCACUUAUAGAUGGAUCCGCGCUGCAUUAGCUAGUUGGUAAGGUAACGGCUUACCAAGGCAACGAUGCAUAGCCGACCUGAGAGGGUGAUCGGCCACACUGGAACUGAGACACGGUCCAGACUCCUACGGGAGGCAGCAGUAGGGAAUCUUCCGCAAUGGGCGAAAGCCUGACGGAGCAACGCCGCGUGAGUGAUGAAGGUCUUCGGAUCGUAAAACUCUGUUAUUAGGGAAGAACAUAUGUGUAAGUAACUGUGCACAUCUUGACGGUACCUAAUCAGAAAGCCACGGCUAACUACGUGCCAGCAGCCGCGGUAAUACGUAGGUGGCAAGCGUUAUCCGGAAUUAUUGGGCGUAAAGCGCGCGUAGGCGGUUUUUUAAGUCUGAUGUGAAAGCCCACGGCUCAACCGUGGAGGGUCAUUGGAAACUGGAA